This 387-nucleotide ribosomal RNA is filed under the name uncultured bacterium. RNAcentral describes it as "bacterial SSU rRNA". It matches the Rfam family "Archaeal small subunit ribosomal RNA", at positions 339 to 726 of the family's 1478-position model. The record is from RNAcentral.
GCGCGAAAACUUUACAAUGCUGGCAACAGCGAUAAGGGAACCUCGAGUGCCAGGUUACAAAUCUGGCUGUCGAGAUGCCUAAAAAGCAUUUCAUAGCAAGGGCCGGGCAAGACCGGUGCCAGCCACCGCGGUAACACCGGCGGCUCGAGUGGUAACCGUUAUUAUUGGGUCUAAAGGGUCUGUAGCCGGCCGGAUAAGUCUCUUGAGAAAUCUGGCAGCUUAACUGUCAGGCUUUCAGGAGAUACUGUCUGGCUCGAGGCCGGGAGAGGUGAGAGGUACUUCAGGGGUAGGGGUGAAAUCUUGUAAUCCUUGAAGGACCACCAGUGGCGAAGGCGUCUCACCAGAACGGACCUGACGGCAAGGGACGAAGGCUAGGGGCACGAACCG